GACGAACGCUGGCGGCGUGCUUAACACAUGCAAGUCGAACGGAAAGGCCCUGCUUUUGUGGGGUGCUCGAGUGGCGAACGGGUGAGUAACACGUGAGUAACCUGCCCUUGACUUUGGGAUAACUUCAGGAAACUGGGGCUAAUACCGGAUAGGAGCUCCUGCUGCAUGGUGGGGGUUGGAAAGUUUCGGCGGUUGGGGAUGGACUCGCGGCUUAUCAGCUUGUUGGUGGGGUAGUGGCUUACCAAGGCUUUGACGGGUAGCCGGCCUGAGAGGGUGACCGGCCACAUUGGGCCUGAGAUACGGCCCAGCCUCCUACGGGAGGCAGCAGUGGGGAAUAUUGCACAAUGGGCGGAAGCCUGAUGCAGCAACGCCGCGUGCGGGAUGACGGCCUUCGGGUUGUAAACCGCUUUCGCCUGCGACGAAGCGUGAGUGACGGUAAUGGGUAAAGAAGCACCGGCUAACUACGUG
This 468-nucleotide ribosomal RNA is filed under the name uncultured bacterium. RNAcentral describes it as "partial 16S ribosomal RNA". It matches the Rfam family "Bacterial small subunit ribosomal RNA", at positions 28 to 507 of the family's 1533-position model. The record is from RNAcentral.